ACAUUAAUUAUAUAUUUAUAAAAUAAAAAUAAUAUCUGUACGGAUCAAGCUCUAGUUUUAUAUUAAAAAAAUAAAAACAAAUGAAUUAUUAGAAAGGAGCAUUAGAAAAAAAGCUCUAGUUUUAUAUUAAAAAAAAUAAAAACAAAUGAAUUAUUAGAAAGGAGCAUUAGAAAAAAAGAACUGAAUAAGAAUAUAUGGGCAUUUGAUCCAAGGUCUUGUGACCUAAUUUAAAUAGACGGAAAAACAUCAGAUAAAAAUAUUGUAGUGGGCCAAGGAAAGAAAGAAAAGCCCAAAUUGAGAGAUAAGAGAUAUGUACGAAGAAACAAAUAACUACGUGACAAGAAUUAGAGUCAGCAAUGUUGAGGUGGCUUUAAGAAACCAACGAUUAGUAUCAAUUUGAUCCCGGAUUGAACACUAAAAUCUAUCUAUCUAUAUAUCUUAUACUAUAAAGUAGACUUCAAUCUCUCCAUUGGGCAUUUUGCGUCGGCAUGCAAAUCGACCAAUAAAUAAUAGUUAUUUUCGCCAUGUCAGAUAACCAAACCUCUCGCUGUAUUUCUUUCUCAACCUUCGUAGCUUAUUGAGAAAUUGAAAAGUCAAGAGACUUGAAUUUCUGCUCCACUCACUCAAUAACUUUGGCUAUUAUUUGCAUUUAUAAGAUCCGAAACACAAAUCUGGAAUCACUGUUCGACUUCUCCUCCUCUCCCACUUUUUAUAUCAUCAUCUAAAUCCGCUCUAACCUAAAGCCACUGUGGCAUCUAGAAAUUCCAAAUCAAACAUCCUCAUAUCUGCACGAGUCACAACUAUAGCCGCCUCACUAUGGUUUCAACUGAAGAGAGUCUUUUGGAAUGACCUCUAUGGAUCUUGGUAAAAAUUAAUUCCUCCGAUGAUGUUUACGGUCAGGAUUUUCUAUGAUUCAUGCGUCUGAU
This 926-nucleotide long non-coding RNA is filed under the name Brassica napus (rape). Its description in RNAcentral is "long non-coding RNA (BNAP_LNC024799)". Lineage: Eukaryota; Viridiplantae; Streptophyta; Magnoliopsida; Brassicales; Brassicaceae. The record is from RNAcentral.